This 68-nucleotide transfer RNA is filed under the name Neoplerochila sp. RNAcentral's name for it is "tRNA-Phe". The record is from RNAcentral. Lineage: Eukaryota; Metazoa; Arthropoda; Insecta; Hemiptera; Tingidae.
UAUUUAAAUAGCUUAAUCAAAAAGUAUUGUAUUGAAGAUACAAGGAUAGAAUAAUUUCUUUUAAAUAU